Molecule: transfer RNA, 87 nt
Filed under: Peptococcaceae bacterium
Lineage: Bacteria; Bacillati; Bacillota; Clostridia; Eubacteriales; Peptococcaceae
Also listed under: 1 other name
Description: tRNA-Leu
Rfam family: tRNA
About the family: Transfer RNA (tRNA) molecules are approximately 80 nucleotides in length. Their secondary structure includes four short double-helical elements and three loops (D, anti-codon, and T loops). Further hydrogen bonds mediate the characteristic L-shaped molecular structure. tRNAs have two regions of fundamental functional importance: the anti-codon, which is responsible for specific mRNA codon recognition, and the 3' end, to which the tRNAs corresponding amino acid is attached (by aminoacyl-tRNA synthetases). tRNAs cope with the degeneracy of the genetic code in two manners: having more than one tRNA (with a specific anti-codon) for a particular amino acid; and 'wobble' base-pairing, i.e. permitting non-standard base-pairing at the 3rd anti-codon position.
Source: RNAcentral
GCGGCAGUGGCGGAAUUGGCAGACGCGCAAGAUUCAGGUUCUUGUGCCCGCAAGGGUGUGGAGGUUCAAGUCCUCUCUGCCGCACCA